GGGCCAGCUAAGGGUCAAGUUUUGGGCCAGCUAGGGGUCAAGUUUUCAUGCCUUGCUUGCCUGAGAAAAUCCCAAGGUGUACUUGUUUGAUACAAGAUAAAUCACAUUACUGAUUUUCUUGAAGUGCAGAAUCGCGGGGUGUAAUUUUGCCUUUUAUUUAUCAUAUUCUGCCAAAUGCAGGCACUUUCUACUAUUAUAUUCUUUCAUUUAUAUCUUCCAUUUGAUAUGUGCUUUUGGACCAUUAUUUGUAACUUUAAUUUUAUUAUGAGCCAUGGAUUUGAGUUGCUGGAGCUGUUAAAUCCAGUUAGUUGUUGCUAUGUGCAUACAUAUUAUUCCACAACCCUUUUAUCUGUUGAGG
Molecule: unclassified non-coding RNA, 358 nt
Filed under: Hevea brasiliensis (rubber tree)
Lineage: Eukaryota; Viridiplantae; Streptophyta; Magnoliopsida; Malpighiales; Euphorbiaceae
Source: RNAcentral